RNAcentral lists this ribosomal RNA (443 nucleotides) under uncultured bacterium. Its description in RNAcentral is "partial 16S ribosomal RNA". It matches the Rfam family "Bacterial small subunit ribosomal RNA", at positions 338 to 795 of the family's 1533-position model. The record is from RNAcentral.
CCUACGGGUGGCAGCAGUGGGGAAUAUUGGACAAUGGGGGGAACCCUGAUCCAGCGACGCCGCGUGAGUGAAGAAGUAUUUCGGUAUGUAAAGCUCUAUCAGCAGGGAAGAAAGAAAUGACGGUACCUGACUAAGAAGCCCCGGAUAACUACGUGCCAGCAGCCGCGGUAAUACGUAGGGGGCAAGCGUUAUCCGGAUUGCCUGGGUGUAAAGGGAGCGUAGACGGCGAUGCAAGUCUGAAGUGAAAGGCGGGGGCCCAACCCCCGGACUGCUUUGGAAACUGUAUGGCUGGAGUGCAGGGGAGGUAAGUGGAAUGCCUAGUGUAGCGGUGAAAUGCGUAGAUAUUAGGAGGAACACCAGUGGCGAAGGCGGCUUACUGGACUGUAACUGACGUUGAGGCUCGAAAGCGUGGGGAGCAAACAGGAUUAGAUACCCGUGUAGUC